RNAcentral lists this ribosomal RNA (492 nucleotides) under uncultured bacterium. RNAcentral's name for it is "partial 16S ribosomal RNA". It matches the Rfam family "Bacterial small subunit ribosomal RNA", at positions 29 to 507 of the family's 1533-position model. The record is from RNAcentral.
AGUGAACGCUGGCGGUAGGCCUAACACAUGCAAGUCGAACGGCAGCACAGUAAGAGCUUGCUCUUACGGGUGGCGAGUGGCGGACGGGUGAGGAAUACAUCGGAAUCUACUUUUUCGUGGGGGAUAACGUAGGGGAACUUACGCUAAUACCGCAUACGACCUACGGGUGAAAGCAGGGGAUCUUCGGACCUUGCGCGAUUGAAUGAGCCGAUGUCGGAUUAGCUAGUUGGCGGGGUAAAGGCCCACCAAGGCGACGAUCCGUAGCUGGUCUGAGAGGAUGAUCAGCCACACUGGAACUGAGACACGGUCCAGACUCCUACGGGAGGCAGCAGUGGGGAAUAUUGGACAAUGGGCGCAAGCCUGAUCCAGCCAUACCGCGUGGGUGAAGAAGGCCUUCGGGUUGUAAAGCCCUUUUGUUGGGAAAGAAGAGCAGCAGGUUAAUACCCCGCUGUUCUGACGGUACCCAAAGAAUAAGCACCGGCUAACUUCGUG